Molecule: ribosomal RNA, 406 nt
Filed under: uncultured bacterium
Lineage: Bacteria
Description: partial 16S ribosomal RNA
Rfam family: Bacterial small subunit ribosomal RNA
Source: RNAcentral
AUUGAACGCUGGCGGCAGGCCUAACACAUGCAAGUCGAGCGAGCGGCGGACGGGUGAGUAAUGUAUGGGAAACUGCCUGAUGGAGGGGGAUAACUACUGGAAACGGUAGCUAAUACCGCAUACCAUCAGAUGUACCCAGAUGGGCUUAGCUAGUAGGUGGGGUAAUGGCUCACCUAGGGGACGAUCCCUAGCUGGUCUGAGAGGAUGAUCAGCCACACUGGAACUGGGACACGGGCCAGACUCCUACGGGCUGCAGCAGUGGGGUAUAUUGCACAAUGGGCGCAAGCCUGAUGCAGCCAUGCCGCGUGUGUGAAGAAGGCCGUCGGGUUGUAAAGCACUUUCAGCGGGGAGGCGUUACUCGCAGAGGAAGCACCGGCUAACUCCGUGCCAGCAGCCGCGGUAAUUC